Molecule: ribosomal RNA, 500 nt
Filed under: uncultured bacterium
Lineage: Bacteria
Description: partial 16S ribosomal RNA
Rfam family: Bacterial small subunit ribosomal RNA
Source: RNAcentral
AUUGAACGCUGGCGGCAGGCCUAACACAUGCAAGUCGAGCGGCAGCGGGACCUUCGGGUUGCCGGCGAGCGGCGGACGGGUGUGUAAUGCCUAGGAAUCUGCCUGUUAGUGGGGGAUAACGCGGGGAAACUCGCGCUAAUACCGCAUACGUCCUACGGGAGAAAGCGGGGGCUCUUCGGACCUCGCGCUAACAGAUGAGCCUAGGUCGGAUUAGCUAGUUGGUGGGGUAAUGGCCCACCAAGGCGACGAUCCGUAACUGGUCUGAGAGGAUGAUCAGUCACACUGGAACUGAGACACGGUCCAGACUCCUACGGGAGGCAGCAGUGGGGAAUAUUGGACAAUGGGCGAAAGCCUGAUCCAGCCAUGCCGCGUGUGUGAAGAAGGUCUUCGGAUUGUAAAGCACUUUAAGUCGGGAGGAAGGGCUGUAGGCUAAUACCUUGCAGUUUUGACGUUACCGACAGAAUAAGCACCGGCUAACUUCGUGCCAGCAGCCGCAGUAA